RNAcentral lists this ribosomal RNA (253 nucleotides) under uncultured bacterium. RNAcentral's name for it is "partial 16S ribosomal RNA". It matches the Rfam family "Bacterial small subunit ribosomal RNA", at positions 524 to 776 of the family's 1533-position model. The record is from RNAcentral.
GACGAACCGUCCGAACGUUAUUCGGAAUCACUGGGCUUAAAGGGUGCGUAGGCGGCACGGAAAGUUGGGUGUGAAAUCCCUCGGCUCAACCGAGGAACUGCGCCCAAAACUACCGUGCUCGAGGGAGAUAGAGGUGAGCGGAACUUAGGGUGGAGCGGUGAAAUGCGUUGAUAUCCUAAGGAACACCGGUGGCGAAAGCGGCUCACUGGAUCUUUUCUGACGCUGAGGCACGAAAGCUAGGGUAGCGAACGGG